Molecule: ribosomal RNA, 450 nt
Filed under: uncultured Methanomicrobiales archaeon
Lineage: Archaea; Methanobacteriati; Methanobacteriota; Methanomicrobia; Methanomicrobiales
Description: bacterial SSU rRNA
Rfam family: Archaeal small subunit ribosomal RNA
Source: RNAcentral
UGGAGCCUGCGGUUUAAUCGGACUCAACGCCGGGAAACUCACCAGAUAAGACAGCUGAAUGAUAGUCGGGCUGAAGACUCUACUUGACUAGCUGAGAGGAGGUGCAUGGCCGUCGUCAGUUCGUACUGUGAAGCAUCCUGUUAAGUCAGGCAACGAGCGAGACCCACGCCAACAGUUGCCAGCUCGUCCUCCGGGAUGGUGGGGACAUUGUUGGGACCGCCUCUGCUAAAGAGGAGGAAGGAAUGGGCAACGGUAGGUCAGCAUGCCCCGAAUUAUCUGGGCUACACGCGGGCUACAAUGGGUGGGACAAUGGGUAUCGACACCGAAAGGUGAAGGCAAUCUCCUAAACCCAUCCGUAGUUCGGAUUGUGGGCUGCAACUCGCCCACAUGAAGCUGGAAUCUGUAGUAAUCGUGUCUCAAAAUGGCACGGUGAAUAUGUCCCUGCUCCUU